RNAcentral lists this ribosomal RNA (447 nucleotides) under uncultured bacterium. RNAcentral describes it as "SSU rRNA". It matches the Rfam family "Bacterial small subunit ribosomal RNA", at positions 26 to 518 of the family's 1533-position model. The record is from RNAcentral.
AGAACGAACGCUGGCGGCAGGCUUAACACAUGCAAGUCGAACGCGUGUAGCAAUACACGAGUGGCGCACGGGUGAGUAACGCGUGGAUAUCUGCCUUUUGGUUCGGAAUAACCCCGGGAAACUGGGGCUAAUACCGGAUGGUUCCUACGGGAUAAAGAUUUAUCGCCAAAAGAUGAGUCCGCGUCCGAUUAGCUAGUUGGUGGGGUAAUGGCCUACCAAGGCGACGAUCGGUAGCUGGUCUGAGAGGACGAUCAGCCACACUGGGACUGAGACACGGCCCAGACUCCUACGGGAGGCAGCAGUGGGGAAUAUUGGACAAUGGGGGCAACCCUGAUCCAGCCAUGCCGCGUGAGUGAUGAAGGCCUUCGGGUUGUAAAGCUCUUUUGGCGGGGACGAUGAUGACGGUACCCGCAGAUAAGCCCCGGCUAACUUCGUGCCAGCAGCCGC